Molecule: RNA transcript, 7139 nt
Organism: Pongo pygmaeus (Bornean orangutan)
Lineage: Eukaryota; Metazoa; Chordata; Mammalia; Primates; Hominidae
Exons: 3
Source: RefSeq, a predicted model, not a curated record
AGUUCUUCAGGGCUGUCUCUGUGAUCCAAGCUUUGAUCUGGGAAAGGUUGCGCCUCAUUGCAGAGUUGAAGCUAUCUCCCUGCUUUGUUUACAUGAACGCCCUUCCAGGACUCUGUCUGCUUUUGGGGUGGAAGUGCCCUGCCAAAAACUCCAGCUCUCCAUGCUGGCUGUGUGGCCAGCAUACCUCCUGCCUUUUCAACGAUUCCUCUGCCCUGGAUAGAGAGUGGUGUCUCAUAACAGUUUGGAAACUACAAAAGUUUCCCUGGCAGGAUGAAUGAUUGACUCGGCAACAUGUUCUUGCCUUUUGGAGUUGCCCUCCAAUUUUUCCAGGCUUGAUUCUGUAAAUCAUUUCGUCUUGUGAAAAUACUGGGCCGUGAGCGCAGAUGAUCUCAAAGAUGAGGAAACAGAAGCUGGGAUAUGUGAGUAAACAUUUCCAAGGUCCUGCAGCUAAUCAGUGGUGAGCUUGCAAAGAAACCCAUAGCUUUCAAACUCUGAAACUGAUGCUCCUUAGAUUCACCAGGCUACCUCACUUACUACCUAAGUGAAAUCAUCAUGGAGGGCUCCUUGUCCACCUCUUUGCAAUGACCCUAAGGAUCUGAGACGUACUUACCUCUCAACAAAGAAGAUGCUCCCCAUGGGCAGGCCCAGGAGUCCCCUUACCCAGAAAUCAGAAGACCCAGGAAGGAGAAGUCUGCACAGAGCAAGCCAGCUGUUUCAGUCCUAUGGCCAUCUUCCAUCAGUGAUGAUGUCCAAAAGGAUGCAAAAGCCCUUGUGACAGAGGCUGCUUGGGAAUUAGCAAACCUGCUUCCUCUUCCCACUGGGCUUACACAGCCCAUUGCAUUUUCCAACCUCCAUUGCAAUUAAGUGGCUGUGUGACUGGGUUUGAGCCUGGGAAACAAGAGCAGCAGUAAUUACACCACUUCCAGGCCCGUCCUAUUCAAGCUCCCUUGUGAGGUUCUCCAUGUUCAUUGUCCCUUUAGCUGGUUAUGAUGGAAAUGACUUCUAGGGCAACUUUGGGAGUUGCCUGAUGAAGAUGCUGAGCCACGAGAUAAGAAGAGUCUGGGUCCCUGAUUCAUCAUAUGGAGGAGAGCUUCCCAAUCAGGAAUAAUCUCACUAGACUGUGACAUGAGCGAGAAAGAAACUUUCCUUUUGCUAAACCACUGAAAUUUCUGGGUUCUGCUGAUAGAACAGGUAGCAUUACUUCAAAAAAUACAACAUCAAUCUAGGACUUUCUGAAAGAAUGAGAUACGUAAAUAAAGCCUAGGAACAACCUGUAGGAACUGGAGAAUGGCGCUUAUUAUGGAUGGAGAAGGAAAAAGAACUACAGGUCCUCCACAAUCUUCAAUGUAGAUUACAUCUGGAGUAAAAGAAUAUCUAGUGUAGAUCAAGAAUAAUAUCUAGUGUGGAUCAUAUAUUCUCCAAACGAGAUGCUCCAAACGAAAUGCUCCAAACGAAAUAUUCUCCAAAAGAAAUGCUUGUAGCUUGGAGAGAUCAAUAUUUCUUCAGACAAUCGGGCACUAACAGUACUUGUGGAUAUUCACUUGGGAAAUGUCAGAGCUCCAGAUUAUAAAAUUCUUGGAAAAGCUUGCAAUUGGCGCAGAAUGGAACAUGGGACUUUGUAAUUAGGUCUAUCCCGGAAUUACAACCUUUGCCCAUACUAAGCUGGAAACAAUAGAAAAUAUUUAAAUGUUGGACAUUUUAAUUACAGCAUAGGAGAGAAAAAACACACAGUGGAUAAAGAUGUUGUGGUAUAUUGGCUAUAAUAUUCUUAGCAAAGUAGGAAGUUAUGACUUCAAAAAACUCUCAACAGAUUCCUCACUUUGAUGGGAGGAGACUGCAGGUAUGGGAGCAGUAGAGACUUGAAUUACUCCGACAUUAUUGCAGAACAUUCCUCAAGUCUUUCCUGAAUAAUUGGACCCCUUAUAGGUCUAUCACUUUGCUACUAUGAGAUAAUAUUGAGUUUGCAAGAAUGCUUUUGCAGAGGCCGCUGUGCUCCUGGAAGACAGUAUUUAUAAAAAUAGUCACUUUUUAUGGUGGUAUCUGUUUGGGACAGUGUGAGCCCCUCACUACUCUCAGCUUUAGAUAUGGAAAACUCAAAGACAGACACAAAGGAAAAUACUUCUGUUUUCCAUUAUUGCAAAAAUAACCCUUUGUUUAAAAACCACUAUCUAUUGAUUACAUUUAGUGAUAUUAGAGACAUAUAAGGCAUGAAUAUAUAUAUAUUAUUUUUCAAAAAUUCAAACAGCUUAACACAAAACUCUAUUCUCAACCAACAUUUCUUAGAUGUUUGCAGACAAAAGAUGAAAAUCGACUGAAUUGUUUCUUAGGUUCAGGAGUUCUAGACUCCAGUAAAGAGGCUCUCUGGUCCUGAUGAGGCCAUAGGUUAAAUAAGUUUGUUUAGUUAUUUUCUCUUUCUGCCAUGUAAAUUGCCUUUCAUUAGCUCACUUAAUUGCCUGAGAGAGAACCUUUUCUGAGUUACCUUCUGAAACCAGGGAAUUAGAUGUAAGGUGGAUAGCCACCUUUCUCUUUAUUGUUACUGUAAACUAUAUAUCUCUAUUUUUCUCACUAGCCAUAAAACACAUUCAAUUGAGUACAUCACAGACAAUUUAAGUGAUGCCCACAAUGUACUCUUAGCAUGAAUAUGAUACUGAAGUCCUACCUGUGAAGGAUUACAGUAUUUUAGAAUUAUUUGUCUCUGAAAUACACACACAGUAUUUUAGCAUUAUUUGUCUCUGAAAUACACACAAAAACACACACACGCACUCUCACGUACAUGACUGUAUAUCUCCUAUGUGCUCUGAAUCCUAUAAUAAUCUGGUGAAUAGUUACUGUGCCUUAUUGAAAACGUGCUGACUCUCAUCUUGAGUUGAACACACUGUGCCACGUGUGUUAUUUACUUCUCUGUGGCCUUUGUGGGGGUAGGUUUUGGCCUAUAAUGGCCAAUAAAAUGUGUGCAUGUGAGAAUGCCUGAAUUAGCUCAAAGGAACAAAAAAAGAGUAUUGCCCUACAUAUUAAAGGGUUGGUGUUCUGGCAACUCUAGGCACUGCUGGUGGGGUGGUAGAGAAAAUGGAAGACCAAUAUCAGCAAGGAAUUGAAGAUUGAUGAAAUUUUUUAGACAUUAGGAAGGGCAUCAUACAUUCCUCUGCAACCUGGAAAAAAAGCCAAUAGUAGAAUGAAGCAAAGCUGGUAGAAACUAUAGCUAGAGACAGAAGAUUACUUCAAGAUUGGAGAAAAUGGAAAUGUGGGUACAGAUGUACGAGUAAGGCAGCAUGGAAGUGCAGGAAAGUGGUUGGUAUAGAAAGUUCUUCCGAUCAUUCCACACAACUCCCAAAUCAGUGGUUUGCAGAGUUGUCCACAGCCUCACUGGGAAUGUAACUUCUUAGGCCCACCCCAGACCUACCGAAUCAGAAACUGUGGGGGUAUGACUCUUGAUCUGUCCUUUAACCAGCCUCCAGUGGUUCUGAUGAGGGCUGAAGGUUGAGAACUACUGGGAGAAGGUGUACAUGAUGUGGGAAGCAUAACUUUGCUGUUCUUGCAGAUGACUUCAGUCUUCCCGGCCCUUCACAGCAUCAGCCUCUUUUAGUGCUGUGUGCCAUUCUACUGUUUAUAGGCACACAGUUUUCAUGACAACUAGUCCCUAGACAGAAGUUCAAGGGUAGACAUAGGCCUAUUUCAAUGCUAGAAAAAAUCUAGCAGGGCUGACUUUAGCUAGAGGCAGUGAGUCCAUCAUCAAUGGGCACCAUCCUAUGUGAUUUUCCAGGAUAUUUUGACCAUAGUCAAUAUUCACCAUAUUGUGAUCACUUUGAAUCCCAGACAGAUUCUACUCCACUAGCCCACUGCACCCACACCCAUCUCACUGUUCUUGUUUACAAUAAAGAAACCUCUGCCUUGGCAGCCAAUGCACACUUAGCCUCUUCCCAUUUUGCUUGUUAUAGGCUUUGCCAUACAAUGAAGAUUUAAUGCCAUAUUCAGCUAAAACACCAGCUAGAGAACCCAUAACACAGAAUACUUUUGAAGAGUUCAAAUGAAUGGGUUUGCUAUUUUUCAGAGUGCUUUAAAACACAAUUGAGUUUCUCUCUGCUGUUCUCCUACACUUGGGAUGAUUAUCUUGCAUCAUAGUUUGGUAUUACUAAAAGGCUUUUUGUCUGAUUAUGAGCCCAGAGUUCCCAGAGAGGGGGAGAUCUAAGAAUCUUUUUCAAGUCCAAAGAGAAUGUGGAGGAAGCAUUUUCCUGUGCCCUGUAGAAAUAAAUGCUCCAGUUGUUGCUCGGGGAAAAUGCAAGAGAAUCCUGCUAUUUUGCUGAUAUGGAAGACAAAGAGGAUUUGCACCAAAUAUUGCUUUUCAUGUGGGAAGCCAAUCCCCCUUACGUGAGCCCCCAACACGUGGCAGUGCAGUCUGCUUUGUUGGGUUUCACCAUAUUCCACUGAUAGGAAUGAGAGGACUGAAAACUGAUGAAAGGGGCAGUGAGGGAGCUUCAGCUGAUAGUGUGUUGAGUGUUACAGCCUGUCUGGCACCUGAUGUCACACACAGAUAUUACACUUUAUAACUGCCAUCGGAUGUCAGAGGUUUCCUAGAUGAUAGUUCCAUGGGGAUCCAGAGAAGGCCACCUGCACAAAGGUCUCUGGCUGGCUCCUUCUUUGUGUCUGCUACCCAACAAGAAACCAACAGCAGGAAAAGAUUUAUGAGUUGGUGAACAAAAGAUAAAUGAUUUCAGUCUCUGGAUGUUUUAAGAGCAAAUUUUUGUACAUCAAGUGGUUAAAAUUGAUCUCUCCAUUGACUUUUGUAUGGGAUGGGCCCAAACGAAUGAUGUUAGGUAAUCAAUGAAAAAAGUCUGUGCGUGAAGAAUUAAAAACCACAAUAUUGGAUUGCUACGGAAAAGGCUCCUCAAAGCAAGAAAUAAGUGAGGGCUACUCACACUCAAAGAAGGCUGGACCAAGAGCCAUCUGCCCUGGCUCUGACAUGCUGAGCAGACUCGAUCACAGACUGGUCUGAGACACAUGACUCAUGAAGUGAACCCUCUGACAGUUAAUAUUUCUUUUCAUGGAGAUUCUGAUUUUGCUAUCUGUGCUGGCGUUUCCUGCCUUUGUAACCUUCCUUUUAUCUCAAACAAAUAGCUCCCAGGGUGCUGUUGUUUGUUAUAAUAAGUUGUGAUUAUAAGCUUUUCUGGUUUAAGCCACUGUGAGAGGACCAGGCCUUGUUGUAACCCACUGGGAGGGACUGAGCAUUGCUGAGCACAGUCUUUCCCAAGCUCCUAACAUGUGUACUAGCCUCCCUAGGUAACUGCUGAACAUCCCAGGGCUUCUGGAUCCACCAGGCCAACCCUGCCAUCCCACCCCUAACUUCCCAGCAAACGUGGAGAAUAAUACCAGGGCAUUAAAUUAGACCUCAUUACCUAGCCAGUUGGGCUGCCCGGCUCUCCUGCACAUAAUAAUGAAGUCUGAUUUACUGUGAUCAUUAUUCAGGAAUUACAGGUCACUAAAUAACAUACUUUGCUCACACAUGUCUUCUGAGCUAAUAAAUAUCCUGAGAGGAAACAUUCUUGAGGGCGUGAGUCUCAGGUUUGGAUUGGUAAGUUCAGGCUCACUAAUUGCAUGAAGGCACUUUGCCUACUGCUCACGAAAUCUUGGGAUAGGAAAAGUCUAAUUAACAACCUCAGGGGAUGUGAGUGAGAGACAGGGAAGAGACUGCUGGAUUCUUUGGCCUACGGGCACAGGCCAGGGUGAGCCACUGGUGGAGGCUGACCCCAGGUGAGUCAACCAUAGAGCCAAUUCCAUAGCACCUCAUGCAGGGCCUUUUGGGAGCAGAACGGGGGGCUCCUCCCUUGCCUCCUUGCACUGUGUAUUCCUGACAUAUCAGUUAGGAGUUCCCUGUCAUGUCUUUCUCUCACCACUGGGCCUUUGCAUGUGUUGUCUAAAAUGCUGCACUCCAUUCCCAUCUCCCAUUGUAUGUGUUGUCAUCAUGUUUGGAAACUCAGCUUAGAUGUCUUCUCCCCAAGAAAGAAUUCCAUGAUCCUUUCGUAUCAAGUGUCUACUCUUAUACAGUGUAUGAUGCCCCCAUAUGGUUUUCAUUGACCUCCCUGUAUUCUCCAUUAGACUGUGAGGCUCUAAAUGGCCUAAUCUGGAUCUUACUGAUUGCUGUAUUCCUAAUGCCUGGCACAGCACCGGGACAUGGCAGGUGCCAUGUUAUUUGCCUGGAGAAUGAAAAAAAAAUUGUCUAUGUGGAAGGAAAGAAGGAUAUUGAGAAUAAUGUCAUGAAUGUGGUGGUGGUAGCAGAGGGUGGUGACUUUUUUAGCCUUGGUAAUAUCUAGUCAUGGAGAAGAGGUCCCUAGCCACCCUGGACAUUACUUUCCCAAGCCUGUCAUUAUCCAGACAUACAUCCAACUGGAAACUUCUAGAAGGAAGAAAACCUUGUAUCCUUGAAUGCCUGGCCUGCGUCUUGGCAUAUAGUAGGUGUUCAUUCAAUGUUGGAUUAAGCUGUUGGCUCUAGUAGCCAGUCUUGCCCACUCACCAGAGACUGGGGCCACUUUCCUUGAACAUAAGGGGAAAAUGUGGUUUGUGGCUGAGGAGACUGAAGCUUCUUUCUGGCCCUACCCUCAAGUUGAGCUCUGCUGGUAGGCAGGGGAGAAAGGGGCACUGGCAGGGCUAACUGCUGUCUAUAAUUCCAGGUGCAGCAGGUUGACAUUGUAACAAUGCCUGGCUAUAGGCUUUUCUUUGCAUAAUCCAAAAUCAUAGCACAUUGAGGUUUCAGCUUUGGACAUAAUGCAAUGAUAAGAAAAUGACGGCAUCAAUGAAUUGUCACAAGUUCUAGUUUGAUAACAUCCAUAUUUUUCUUAAAACUGCAAUAUAUAUUUUUAAAAGUCUAUUUGUCUCAAGGAAGACACUGGGGAUUGGGAAAAUAGGAUUAAAAAUAAUUCUUUUUUUCCUAACUCAUAAUGCAAAAUAUGUAACUGGUAAAUACUAAGUAAAUCUGACCAUAUAUCUACAUUAUUUAUGGAAAUAAUUCAGGAUUAUUUACUUUGUAGAAAAUUUGUUAGAAUGCUUUAAAAAUUACUGAAAUUAAAUAAAAUCAGGCUCCUUGAAUUAUCCAUGAGUGCAGCUUCACAUAAUCAAUACUUUAGCCAUUCUAGGAUGACAUUGCAUCU